AAUGAUUUUAUAAAUGAGUCUUCUAAACUUAUUUUAGGUUUUACCUGAUCAUUU
This 54-nucleotide transfer RNA is filed under the name Rhabditophanes sp. KR3021. Its description in RNAcentral is "tRNA-Ser". The record is from RNAcentral. Lineage: Eukaryota; Metazoa; Nematoda; Chromadorea; Rhabditida; Alloionematidae.